AAGUCGUAACAAGGUUUCCGUAGGUGAACCUGCGGAAGGACCAACGUUAAAUCCCGUGUCUUGUUUUGGUGGAGCGUGAAGAUGACCGAUUUGGGUGGAACUGGGAGUGGUUGAUAUCAAAGCUCGUACGCACUGAAGAUUCGGGCGGACCCCGAACGCCUGUAGGGGUAGGUCACUUGAUUCUGGCCACUGGCCAGUUUCCGGCGGGGCUCAUCUUUAUUACGGUGAAGUUCUUUGGGUGUCCAGAUCGUUUUCUCGGGUAACACGAUCUGUUUCUCCAGAUCGCUUCGCGCUUUGCUCUUUUUUGAAGUGAACUCAUGCUGCGUCGACCAUUCCUGAUACCUUGACAGGACCACGUGCCAUAACCCGGUGUGGCGUGUACAGAAACCCGAACAACUGUUAACAAUGGAUAUCUUGGUUCUC
Molecule: unclassified non-coding RNA, 423 nt
Filed under: fungal sp.
Lineage: Eukaryota; Fungi
Description: partial internal transcribed spacer region
Rfam family: Eukaryotic small subunit ribosomal RNA (bases 1-46)
Source: RNAcentral